GAUCAACAAAUGAAUAGUGUUCAUAUAGUAGCAGAGAUAUGGUCUGCAAGUUUCUACCGGACUGCCGUAAAUGGUCCGACUAUGAGCGAAAGAUGUACUAGG
Molecule: non-coding RNA, 102 nt
Filed under: Peptococcaceae bacterium
Lineage: Bacteria; Bacillati; Bacillota; Clostridia; Eubacteriales; Peptococcaceae
Description: Guanine sequence
Rfam family: Purine riboswitch aptamer
About the family: Riboswitches are metabolite binding domains within certain messenger RNAs that serve as precision sensors for their corresponding targets. Allosteric rearrangement of mRNA structure is mediated by ligand binding, and this results in modulation of gene expression.
Source: RNAcentral